UGAAACUCCCCUCUCUAUUAAAAAUACAAAAUUAGCUGGGCGUGUUGGCAAGUACCUGUAAUCUCAACUACUCAGGAGGCUGAGGCAGGAGAAUCAUUUGAACCCGGGAGGCAGAGAUUGCAGUGAGCCCAGUGAGUGGAGAUUGUGCCAUUGCACUCCAGCCUGGGCAAAAAAAAGUGAAACUCUGUCUCAAAAAAAUAAAAAAUUAAAAUUAAAUUAAAAAAGUAAAAAGCUGUACAUUUGUAAGGCUUAACGUCAAGCAAUUUUUAAAGCACGAAAUGUAGAGCAAACUCCCUUCCCCUACCCCGCCCCCAGCCCUUCAUUUCCUUCCAUAGUGACAGCCACUGCUGUCAAUGUCUCAUAAAUCUUUCUAGAGAUAUUGUAAGCCUAAUGAAGCAUAAAUAUAAGAUAUGCAUUUUAAAUGCAAAAAAAGUUCAUUUUUGUUUUACAUUUUACAGUGUGUAAUGCUUUUAUUUUACAGUAUAUAAUAAUAACAGCUAACACUGAUAUAGCAUUUACCAUGUGCUGGGAGAACUGACAUCCUGAUGGAAAUCUGCCCCAAACCAAGGGCCAGGUAUUAGCCACAUCUUUACUGCCUUCUUUAGGACAUCAAACCUACCCCACAUUUAACGAGGUCAGCAUUUCCCAAAGUAUGGUAGGUGCAAUGAUUUUACAUGGUAAAGAGUGAGCAUUUGUUAUUUCAGUAGUUAAAACCAUAUUUUAAUAUAUAAGAAAAAUAAAACAAGGAUGACAUGAAAUCCUGUGGUGUCCCAUGAUUUCCAAGUUGCUUCCAUUAUUGAAGCUGAGUUUGUUGGGGGUCCGCUCAUGGCUGUCUCUGAACAGAAGGUAACCAGGAACUCUCACUUCUGAUCCAUCUCUAUUGUUGUCUUUCCUCCAGGUAGCUAUGGGCACAUCCUUCCAUAGACCCUCCAGGAGCAUCCGCUUCCAGUCCUGCCUGGGCACUGAACGUGCUCCUUCCUCAGAUGGGCUGGGGUUCAAUAAUAUUCCAUUGUGUGUAUUUGCCACGUUUUGUUUAUCCAUUCAUCCACCGAUGGACACAGUUGUGUUCGCCUCUUGGCUACUGUGAGUAGUGCUGCUCCUCCAUCCUUUUUAAAGGCUGCACGGUGUUCUGUGGAUAGAGUAGUGUGGUUAGGAGCACAGGCUCUGUAGCCAGAGGGACGCAGGUUUGAAUACUGCCUCCACCCUGAGGACACAUUGUGGGAUCUUGGGCACACAGUAAGUGUUUCAA
Molecule: long non-coding RNA, 1249 nt
Filed under: Papio anubis (olive baboon)
Lineage: Eukaryota; Metazoa; Chordata; Mammalia; Primates; Cercopithecidae
Description: lncRNA (ENSPANG00000041518.1)
Source: RNAcentral